CCAGACUCCUACGGGAGGCAGCAGUGAGGAAUAUUGGUCAAUGGGCUUACGCCUGAACCAGCCAAGUCGCGUGAGGGAAGACUGCCCUAUGGGUUGUAAACCUCUUUUGUCAGGGAGCAAUUGGCGCUACGUGUAGCGUUAUCGAGAGUACCUGAAGAAAAAGCAUCGGCUAACUCCGUGCCAGCAGCCGCGGUAAUACGGAGGAUGCGAGCGUUAUCCGGAUUUAUUGGGUUUAAAGGGUGCGUAGGCGGUCUGUAGAGUGAGGGUGCAAGGCGGGGGGCCACCCCCCGCCCCGCCGUUGAAACUGGCAGUCUCGAGUUGGAGAGAAGUAUGCGGAAUGCGCGGUGUAGCGGUGAAAUGCAUAGAUAUCGCGCAGAACUCCGAUUGCGAAGGCAGCAUGCCGGCUCCACACUGACGCUGAGGCACGAAAGCGUGGGUAUCGAACAGGAUUAGAUACCCUAGUAC
Molecule: ribosomal RNA, 465 nt
Filed under: uncultured bacterium
Lineage: Bacteria
Description: bacterial SSU rRNA
Rfam family: Bacterial small subunit ribosomal RNA
Source: RNAcentral